CAGCAACAGCAGCAGCAGAUGAUGCAGGAGCAGCGCCAACAGGCCCAAGCAAUCGCGCGCGUGCAGCGCCAGCUGGAGGAGGACCUGCCCACCUCGCUGCAGAGCCGCGUGCCGCCCCAGCUGCACGUGACCACCUCCCAGGAGGCGCUCUCCCACCCGCACAUGUCCCCCCGCGCCCAUCCCUCCCCCAGCG
Molecule: long non-coding RNA, 193 nt
Organism: Pollicipes pollicipes
Lineage: Eukaryota; Metazoa; Arthropoda; Thecostraca; Pollicipedomorpha; Pollicipedidae
Exons: 3
Source: RefSeq, a predicted model, not a curated record